This is a small nuclear RNA of 207 nucleotides. Its record names the gene U2. It matches the Rfam family "U2 spliceosomal RNA". From Rfam's summary of the family: U2 is a small nuclear RNA (snRNA) component of the spliceosome (involved in pre-mRNA splicing). Complementary binding between U2 snRNA (in an area lying towards the 5' end but 3' to hairpin I) and the branchpoint sequence (BPS) of the intron results the bulging out of an unpaired adenosine, on the BPS, which initiates a nucleophilic attack at the intronic 5' splice site, thus starting the first of two transesterification reactions that mediate splicing. The record is from Ensembl.
AUCGCUUUUUGGCCUUUUGGACUAAGAUUAAGUGUGGUAUCUGUUCUCACCAGUUUAAUAUCUGAUAUGUCCUCUGUCUGAAGACAGUAUAUUAAAUUUCUAAAUAGGUUGAAAAUAUGUACUGCUUCAGUCCAUCCAUCUUUUUUUUUCCCUUGAGGAUUCAGACUGGCUCUCCUGCUUCUGUUUUCUGUAGAGGAAAAACAUAUU